Molecule: ribosomal RNA, 222 nt
Filed under: uncultured bacterium
Lineage: Bacteria
Description: partial 16S ribosomal RNA
Rfam family: Bacterial small subunit ribosomal RNA
Source: RNAcentral
ACCGGUCUCAGUUCGGAUCGCAGUCUGCAACUCGACUGCGUGAAGGUGGAGUCGCUAGUAAUCGCGGAUCAGCAACGCCGCGGUGAAUGCGUUCCCGGGCCUUGUACACACCGCCCGUCAAGUCAUGAAAGUGGGCAGCACCCGAAGACGGUGGCCUAACCCUUGUGGGGGGAGCCGUCUAAGGUGAGGCUCGUGAUUGGGACUAAGUCGUAACAAGGUAAC